This 228-nucleotide unclassified non-coding RNA is filed under the name uncultured Ceratobasidiaceae. RNAcentral's name for it is "sequence contains ITS2". Lineage: Eukaryota; Fungi; Basidiomycota; Agaricomycetes; Cantharellales; Ceratobasidiaceae. The record is from RNAcentral.
AAAUCUUCAAAGUAAAUCUUUUGUUAACUCAAUUGGUUCUACUUUGGUAUUGGAGGUCUUUGCAGCUUCACACCUGCUCCUCUUUGUUCAUUAGCUGGAUCUCAGUGUUAUGCUUGGUUCCACUCAGCGUGAUAAGUUAUCUAUCGCUGAGGACACUGUAACAGGUGGCCAAGGGAAAUGCAGAUGAACCGCUUCUAAUGGUCCAUUCACUUGGACACUAUUUUUAUG